UACCAGCACCCCGAGUGGUCGGGACGAUUAUUGGGCCUAAAGCAUCCGUAGCCGGCCUUACAAGUCUUCCGUUAAAUCCACCUGCUUAACAGAUGGGCUGCGGAGGAUACUAUAGAGCUAGGAGGCGGGAGAGGCAGGCGGUACUUAGUGGGUAGGGGUAAAAUCCGUUGAUCCAUUGAAGACCACCAGUGGCGAAGGCGGCUUGCCAGAACGCACUCGACGGUGAGGGAUGAAAGCUGGGGGAGCAAACCGG
This 253-nucleotide ribosomal RNA is filed under the name uncultured bacterium. RNAcentral's name for it is "partial 16S ribosomal RNA". It matches the Rfam family "Archaeal small subunit ribosomal RNA", at positions 474 to 727 of the family's 1478-position model. The record is from RNAcentral.